CGCAGCAACGCCGCGUGGGUGAUGAAGGCCUUCGGGUCGUAAAACCCUUUUCUGGGGGAAGAGUAAGGACGGUACCCCAGGAAUAAGCCUCGGCUAACUAUGUGCCAGCAGCCGCGGUAAUACAUAGGAGGCAAGCGUUAUCCGGAUUUACUGGGCGUAAAGAGCGUUGAGGCGGCUUCGUAAGUUGGACGUGAAAGCUCCCGGCUUAACUGGGAGAGGCCGUUCAAUACUGCGGGGCUUGAGGACAGCAGAGGGGGGUGGAAUUUCCGGUGUAGUGGUGAAAUGCGUAGAUAUCGGAAGGAACACCAGUGGCGAAGGCGGCCCCCUGGGCUGCUCCUGACGCUGAAGGCGAAAGCUAGGGUAGCGAACGGGAUUAGAAACCCCGGUAGUCCUAGCCGUAAACGAUGGAUACUAGGUGUAGGAGGUUAAAAUUCCUUCUGUGCCGGAGCUAACGCGUUAAGUAUCCCGCCUGGGGAGUACGGUCGCAAGGCCAAAACUCAAAGGAAUUGACGGGGGCCCGCACAAGCAGCGGAGCGUGUGGUUUAAUUCGAUGCAACGCGAAGAACCUUACCAGGGCUUGACAUGUAGGUAGUAGUGAAGCGAAAGCGGAACGAUCCUUCGGGAAGCCUACACAGGUGCUGCAUGGCUGUCGUCAGCUCGUGCCGUGAGGUGUUAGGUUAAGUCCUGUAACGAGCGCAACCCCUGCCGUUAGUUACAAGUGUCUAACGGGACUGCCCGGCAAAACUGGGAGGAAGGUGGGGAUGACGUCAAGUCAGCAUGGCCUUUAUGUCCUGGGCUACACACACGCUACAAUGGCCGGUACAAUGGGUUGCCAAGCCGCGAGGCGGAGCCAAUCCUCUAAUGCCGGUCUCAGUUCGGAUUGUAGGCUGCAACCCGCCUGCAUGAAGUUGGAGUUGCU
This 919-nucleotide ribosomal RNA is filed under the name uncultured Chloroflexota bacterium. Its description in RNAcentral is "bacterial SSU rRNA". It matches the Rfam family "Bacterial small subunit ribosomal RNA", at positions 387 to 1336 of the family's 1533-position model. Lineage: Bacteria; Bacillati; Chloroflexota. The record is from RNAcentral.